Molecule: transfer RNA, 72 nt
Filed under: Ovis aries (sheep)
Lineage: Eukaryota; Metazoa; Chordata; Mammalia; Artiodactyla; Bovidae
Rfam family: tRNA
About the family: Transfer RNA (tRNA) molecules are approximately 80 nucleotides in length. Their secondary structure includes four short double-helical elements and three loops (D, anti-codon, and T loops). Further hydrogen bonds mediate the characteristic L-shaped molecular structure. tRNAs have two regions of fundamental functional importance: the anti-codon, which is responsible for specific mRNA codon recognition, and the 3' end, to which the tRNAs corresponding amino acid is attached (by aminoacyl-tRNA synthetases). tRNAs cope with the degeneracy of the genetic code in two manners: having more than one tRNA (with a specific anti-codon) for a particular amino acid; and 'wobble' base-pairing, i.e. permitting non-standard base-pairing at the 3rd anti-codon position.
Source: Rfam by way of RNAcentral
UCCCUGAUAGCUCAGUUGGUAAAGAAUCUGCCUGCAAUGCAGGAGACCCUGGUUUGAUUCCUGGGCUGGGAA